Molecule: non-coding RNA, 4906 nt
Organism: Oryctolagus cuniculus (rabbit)
Lineage: Eukaryota; Metazoa; Chordata; Mammalia; Lagomorpha; Leporidae
Source: RefSeq, a predicted model, not a curated record
AUCAUAUUGUAUAUUUUUAAUCACUGUUACAUAGUUCUCAGCAUAUAGGCAUUUCACUGUCUUGGUUAAAUUUGCUCUCAAGUAUUUGAUGUUUUUGUAGCUAAUACAAAUGGGAUUGUUUUCCUGACUUCUUUAGAUGGUCCUAGAGCAUGUCCUUUAUUCUCUUAUUGUCACCAUUAUGUCUCUGUAUGUCACGCGUCCACCAAUCAGACUUGUACAGUUGCCUUCUAAAUCAAGCAGGAGAAGCAGCAGUCAGAAACAGGAACUCCAAGCCUACUGUUCUUCUCUUGUACCCAUGUGGCUCCUGUUGGCAGUGUGGCUCACGUCUUCGUCUGGAUUUGUAUGUCUUUGCCACCUCACCCUCUGCCUGCCCGUUCACCCUCCGCACUGGCUGACUUACCCUCCUCCUGCACAUUUCCAGACGCCCUCUCAUUUCACCCUGUGGGUUUGCGAGAGCUUCGCCUCCUAUCCAUGCAACCUCUUGCUGUCUCUCCCUGCCCCGCUCCUGAGCACGCGAGGGCAUCCUAUUGCUAAGCUAUGGGAACGUGACCCACUUGAAGGCAAACUGACUUGGGAAAAAAAAAAUGGCAUUUCUCAUUCCAUCUCUAGAGGCUGAGGCUGAGACCUCCAUGGUCUCUGUGUUACCCCAGCCAAUUGCAUAGUUGGUGCCCAUUCAGUAAAGUAGUUGCCUCCGUGAACAGACAGACAGGCUGCAAAACACGGUGCAGACUGAGCAAUGGGUUCCUGGUAAGAACAGACCACCAGGGCCGGCCAUUAACACGGCAUUAUCCAGGACCAUUGUUAAAUGACUCCUCCACUGUGCAUUAGGGUCUCGAGCCAUGUAUGACUUAUUUGUGGCGUGGUGUCGCCAUCAAUCAUGGUCUGGACUGAAGUGAGCUAAAGGUUGAGGUUUAAGGUUUCUUGAAGCCCAGCUCACUUAAUGAUAUUCAUGAGCGGAUGACGUGUUGUGGUAACCAGUCCUUGGGAUCGGUCCAGUCCCAUCCGUGAUCCCUGGGGCCAGACCGCUGGCCAGAUGCCGAGCUUUCUGGAAAACAGUGAUGUGUAUUCAGCAGGAGGCUGGGGAGAAACCGGAUACAGCACUUCUUGUGCUUUCAAAGCUUCGACCAAUGGAGACCGAACGAGAAGGAGAGGUUUAAGAUUUCCACAUAAAACUCAGAAGCUGUGUUGGCCAGGGAAGAGAGGCCAGGCUGCCUUGCAGUCUGAGCUUCCUCUGAGCCCCUCAGCGCUGGAGACUGACCUGAGCACAGAGUCGGCUCUAGAACCGGACACACAGCAUUCACCAUUAUGUCUCAGCCGCUGUCACUAUCUUCAGCAACAACGAUACUGAUACUUCUCCUCCACCUAGUCCGGGCCAGCUGCUUCCCUAGGUGUCUUAAGACACCAGCACCCAUUGCUCAACUUGUCAGAGCAAUUUCAUGGCAGGGUGUGGUGUCCCCAGUUUAGAGGGCGUUGGACGUAUAAACUCUGGGGGUGGGGGAGAGCGAGGGCCCCAGAGAGCAGGUUCUUGUUCCCACAAACCCCCUCUGCGGCAUUGGUUCUUCCCUGGCCCCGAAUGCAAAUGUUGGCCGAACGAAUUUUCUAGUCUCUCCUAGGUAAUAAAAACAGUGCUCCACUUUCUCAAGGCAACUAAAAUUGCAAAAUAUGGAUUCAUUUCAGCAAUAAACAUCAGUUCCACGUCCUGAUCCAAGUCUGGAUUUCACAUGCAGUUGUCUCUCCACCACCUCUUCUCGUGUGGGCAGGAAACCCGCCUGGGAGAGGAUGUCCGAGACGAGCCUCAUGGAGCCUUGCUGCCUGGUGUUCUUCCUCAGGGCCUUGGACAAGGUGGAGAGCAGAGGCGACCAGCAUCAUUUCAGCAUGACAGGGGUGGCUGGCCCUCUCUCUCCACGAGGCCUGCGUCUCGGUGUUCAAACGUCCGUGGAUCACAAAUAUUCAGGAGAAAAGCUGUGAACCUGUACUAGACACAGACACAGACUCCCUUUCCUGCCAGUGUCCCCUAAACAACCCAGUACAGCGGGUGUUGAUGUAGCACGAGGUCGUGUUAGGGGCUGUAAGUCACCUACAGGUGGUUUGCACAUACGGGAGGGCGUGCAUGCGUUCUCUGCAAAUCCUAUGGCAUCCCAGAUAAGACUUGGGCAGCUGUGGGUCCCGGCAAGUCCCCUGUGGAUAGCGGGGCACACUUGCAUCCACGUGGCUGUCACGUGGAAGCCUUGCAGGGCCUGAAGCAUGACCUGUCUUCCUGGAGCACUUUGGGGGCUGCUGGGCACACACCCAUCACCCCAUCAGCUGCUGCGUCGCCGUGAGGCUGCCAUGACAGACUUGGUUUCUGCCCUUCGUGACCGGAGUCCUUCCUUCAGCUCCCGGGACACGGGUGGAUCACGGUGGGUGGACCCCCUGUUGUAGUCUCCUUACUGCACAGUCCUCCAGGACAGGCCCUAGGCCGCUCUACGCUGGCCCUGGGGACGCAGGCCCACCCUGGUGCUGUCUCUCCUCUGCCGUGCCACCAGCGUCUCUGGGCAACCAGCUAGGAGCUGAAUUUUGUGCUCCUCAAGUUCGUGUGUCAAAGUCCUAGCCUCCGACGGGGAUGGAUUUUGGAAAUGGAGCCCGUGAGGAAGUCAGCGAGGUUAAAGGAUGGUCAGCAGGUGGGGGCCUGGACGGACGGGGUUGGUGCCUCUGUAGGGGGACACACCAGAGAGCUCGCUCUCUUUCUCCCUCGGAUGGAGAGGAAAGGCAUGUAAAGGCCAAGUGGCCUUCUUGCAAUCCCAAAGGCAUGCCCUCGCCAGGAGCCGAGCUUGUCUGGGCCCUGGCCUGGGCCUUCCAGCCUCCAGGGCUGGCUACGCUGCCAUCUGCGGGGCUGUGCUAUGGCAAUCCGAGUAGACCAGGACACAGCCCAUCCCUCACCCAGGUGGGAGCCAGGCCGCUGUCCACCAUGCUACUCAAACUUCCAGGCACCUGUGUGGAAUCUUUGGGAGGUGCCCAUGCUGCCCGCUUCCGUCGGCUGGGCCGGUACGCAGGCAACCUUGCCAAAGAACCUGUCUCAUCCCCAGAGCCCCGCAGUCUAAGGGGCUUAAAGUGGGCUUUUGAUUGAUGGCUUUGGCCGGGUGCUGUCCUGAGCGUGGGGCAGCUGUGGUCUCAACACUGACCCGCCUUUCAUUGUCACAUCAUUCGUCAUGUGGCUGCUCAGGAGCUAGGCCCCCAUCUCCAUCCGGGUCUCCUUGUCCUUUCCUGUUCUACCUACCCCAUAGCCCUUGACCUCUAAUGUGCUCAGCACCGAGCCCACAUGAUUGGAUGGCCCACAUGAUUGGACGGCCCACAUGGACUGGUGCUGCUGUCUUGCCUCUGCUGUGUCAGCAGCCGGCACGGAGCCUGGCAGAUAAGGAGGGCUCACUCCGCACCAGCCAUCUCCCUUAGGAGAAUCUCCCUGGGUCCCAACGUUGGCAGUCACCAGCGGACGGAGCCGCAGUGCCGUGACCCAGCUAGCCAAUUCCAAGCAGAAGGCAACGGGCUGUUGGCCUGGCAUGGGAAGGCCCGUGUUUCCGUCCAUGGCCACCUCUGGACCUGUUCAUUCAGAGACCUCUGUUGAGCCCGUCCUCUGCCCAGGUGUGAGCCCUCGUGGGCACGUACUGGCCUCUGCACCCCCGUUUCAGCUCCCAUUGCCACGUGCCAGCAAAGCCUACCCACCGCUGCCCCUGGAGCCACACCCCCUUCUGCCCUCUGCACGCUGUGAGGUUGCCAUCGACUCCACGAGGCAGAGUGAGCUGUUCCUGUGGCUUGGCAAGGCACAAGGACUGAAGAUGCCCUCCCAGCUUGGGAGCCCUGGUGCCCAAUGGGGCUGCCCACCACUCUGAGACUGAUGGAUAGUUCUGGAUUAUUCCACCAGACCCUAAAUGCUCAAAGCCAAGCAGGGCCUCAUUCUGGGGUGGUUUCACCCAUCAGUCAGCCAGCCCUCGGUGUCGGCAGGGGCAGUCUCCAUUCUGAUGAGGGAUUGCAUAGAUGGGAGGACAGACGCACCAGGCAGCCCGCGGGAUGGUGACGCGAGAAGAUUGAUUGGCUCCGCUACCUCAGCACGGCCUCAUGGGAGGACCACGUGAACCUCUGGGGGACACGCUCAGGCCAUAUCCACACCACGGCAGGCAGAGAUGGAGUGAUCACGGACAAGUGACUGUCGUGUGAGCCGCAUCAGGGUGACGGGGCCACGGGAGGGUUUUGCCACUGAAAACAUCUGUCAUGUUGCAAGAGAGCCAGCUGCCCCAGAGAGACCCCUGUAGGUGUCCCACCAACACCCCUCACUCACUGAAGUUCAACAGACAGCUGGCAGGUGCUGCCGGGGGUGUGAACACAGGAGCCUUUGGAUAGCUGUCCUUGGAGCCCCCCCCGACCCCAGAGAGAAUCUUUUCCAUCUACUGGUUCCAUCCCCCAAGUGCCUGCAGUAGCCAAGGCUGAGCCAGGCCAAAGCCAGGAGCUUAGAACUCCAUCUGGGUGUCCCACGAGGACCCAAAGACAGCUGCUGCCUCCCAGGACGCACACUAGCAGGAAGCUCGGACUGCUCCCUGAUAGACACCGGACACUUGCUGAUGGGGACAUUGUCAUUGUCAUCCAAUGGCCAUAGCGGCUGAGGGCCACCCAGGACUGGAAGCAGCACUGAGAGACUGCACGCCACCAGGGCGGUUCAGAGUCGGCCUGCAGAGAUCAGAACAUUCCGGAAGGGGAAGGCUCUUCUAGGUUCUGGAGGUGGACAGCGUGCUGCCCCGCGAACGUCCAAAGCAAGCCGAGACAGAGGCCGGGACGCCACGCCUCUCCGGGACGGGCGUCUGUCCCGGGCGGCCCCCUCUGCGGUACUUGGAGCCUUGGAUGUUGACCAGACUUUGUGACCCGGGCUGGUCUUUCC